This 73-nucleotide transfer RNA is filed under the name Metzgeria leptoneura. RNAcentral describes it as "tRNA-Phe". It matches the Rfam family "tRNA". From Rfam's summary of the family: Transfer RNA (tRNA) molecules are approximately 80 nucleotides in length. Their secondary structure includes four short double-helical elements and three loops (D, anti-codon, and T loops). Lineage: Eukaryota; Viridiplantae; Streptophyta; Jungermanniopsida; Metzgeriales; Metzgeriaceae. The record is from RNAcentral.
GUUUAGAUAGCUCAGGUGGUUAGAGCAAAGGACUGAAAAUCCUUGUGUCAGUGGUUCGAAUUCCUCCUCCAGA